UUUAAAAUUGUGCGUGUUGGCAUAGCGCGUGGUUUCAUGCUCUGCUUUCAUGCUUCUAAACUCAUAUAUACAAACAUAAAGUGUAUUCCGUGGAUAACUACAGGCCACUGACAGCGAACCAAUUACUGAAUGCUUUCACGCCGUGACACUAGGCCUAAGCCCAACUAUACACAAUGUGGAGUCUUGUUUAUUAGUGACUAAGUCGAGUAAGGACUGCUCGUGAGAUUCGAGUCACUCCCCCAAGAAUGGAUAGUGGAAUUACUGUCCUUAUUCGUAACAAUGCGUCGGGGUUCGGACAUAAAAACAGCGCCUCCGAGUUUGAAGGUACAAAAAGGGAAUACCAACAAUUCAAGGAAAACGAACGCCGGGGCAGCAUUUGAGCCGUUAGGGGGCUGGGACGCUGAGGAUGACGUGGAAGACCUUAGCAUAACAGACUGGGCUACGGAAAAGUACGAAACACAUACACCUAACCAUGCUGAAAAUGUGACGGCCAAACCCAGGUCAGAAUCCCAGUCGCGGCUUUGGGAAAAAUUCCUGUGCGUACCAUCAUUAAAAUGUACGGGGAUAAAGAACAUUGACGACUUCAAGGACAACAGUCUCUCGGAACUAAUCCUGAAAGAAAAUGAGGAAAAGACAAAACCAAAUGAUGAGAAAAAAGUGAAAGUAAAAGAAGAUGACGAAAGGUGCUAUGGAUGUCAGAAUAAUAGGACAGGGCUAACAAGAGCUGUGACUCAAGUAAACCUCCGACCGCCGAAUCAAACCCUGCCAAACCGCGCCAAAUCAUCGAAUAAUCUGUCUCUACGGUCAAGGUCAAAAUUGGGCUUGGUCUAUCGGAAAUAUGCAGAUGAGGAUGAGGACCAGGAUGUAGUGCGCAAGAACACUUCCGGUAAUUUCUUUCAACCCAGUGUCAAAUUUAGUGCUAAUUCUAGUUCGACUUCUACUACACAACAGGAAAAUCCAUCUCGGACUCAAUCCAGUGUCUCUUUUAAUAUCAUUCAGGAAUCACCGGAGGGAAAAAGGCAACGGGAGAUCAAAAGUGCGCACGCGCUGCGGUCGGUGCAGGUUAUUUCUCCUGCGGUGAAAUUGUGCUAUACUAAUGGUGUUGACCCUUCUCGAACCAAUGGAUCGGUCGCGGGGCAUUUUCUUAGAAGUAAAACAAUGUCAGUUAUAAACGGGGACACAAGUCAACGAUACGGUAUGGAAUCGGAAAAAACCUAUGACCGCUGUAAAUCUACAUCUAGUGACAACAGUAGUCAAGAUAAAACAUUUGUGACGAAUUUGAAAUCAAAAUUUACUAAAGGUAAUCAAUUGCGUUCGAAAAAUAAACCAAAUGAUAGUCAGAAUGACUUCAGUGGUAUGUCUCGAAAUAACUCGGUUAAAAAACACAUGAGUAAGUUGGCGAAGCGCCAGGAGCAAGCGCAAGCAGACGCUAAUGGCGAGUCGGAUAUUGCCCCUUUAACUAUGGUGCUAAGGAAAUAUUCAAAUGAAAGUGAAACAGACAUUGAUGCAAGGUUAAAACGGGUGCAAGAUUUGGAAUCUAAACUCAAGCUUGCGCAUCCGAAUGGCUUAAAAUUAGAACAACAAUGUGGCGUAAAGACUGUGGAUCCCGUUAAGGGGGACAUUUCUCACCUUGUGAUCAACGGUGUGAAAGACUCCGUCACGGUUCGCUUUCUUGAAGCAGACGAAGAGGAUUAUGAAGAAGACGCCGAAGAUCAAGGAAAAGAGGCCAUUUUUCCGAUCGGGGAAAUGUUACCCGAUGAUGCGAUCGGGGCACCGCCGAACUCGGUCAGGUUCGACCCCGAUCAACGGGCUAGCACUGAUAUUGAUAGGGAUAUGAAGGUGACAGGGAGGGAUCUGUUGGUGCAUCAUGAAGACAGCCUUAUUCUACUGCGGGAGGGCAUCGAUGGCAUUGGGAUCAAGGAUAAAUAUGGACAUCAAGCACAUUUGGGUCCACCAGCUUUCCGACCGAUGUCACAGAAGACUAUUCUACACCGGGCAAAGGAGAGCACACAGAAGAGGAUGAACGGCAAAUCACACUUACAUUUACCUUUGGAAGUUGAAAAUACCACUGCCUUUUUACGGGUGAGAAUGCCUAAAUUGUCUAACUUCUCGCGCGAAUCGAAGAGAGUGCAAUCUGCAGCCCAAAAUGAGGCUGGUAAAGGUUUGGUCGGUUCCCCGACAUUGAUGACGAACUUCCACAGUGUUCCCCGUUUGACUUUGAGCCACCGCAGCCUUUCAGCAAACCCCUCGCCAGGCAGGACAGUCUCGGCGCACUGUUUAAGUUAUCGAGGCGGAGGCGCACCUUCGGCGAGCAGGCCCAAGACCGCACAACCAUGAUCGACUUCCAGCACGCACGGGCUAAGUUGCAGAUGGGGCUGGGUGAUGUCUUGAGGCGAUACCAACACCAAGAGGACGUCUAAGCUGUGAUAACAAACACUAAAGUAAAUACUACAUGAAAAGCCAGAGGAAACUGCAGAGAUUGUCUGACGUCAUUAAAGAGUUUACGGUCGUAUUUACAGGACUCGACGAGUCAGGCCCGUAAAUCAAAUUCCGAAUCUCAAGGAGCACUUCCGAACUUGUUGCCCCGCCCGUCUUGACGAAUUGGUACGGGGAAAUAAAACAGCAUUGAAACUGAUGGCGUCGCGCACGAAUGUGUAAUCACCUCGUUCUCGGAGUUGGGGCCAAUGAUAUAAUAGCCUGGUUUCACAAUUAGUACGAAUGUCAGUAGUCUCAUCAAGUCCCGUCCUAUUUAUUUACAUGGUACUCUUAAAUCUUCUAUUAUAUUUAGUUGAAAGAGGAUCAGAGAAAUAUUUUUCUUCAAACAUCGCCGAUGAAAUAAAUGUUCAUAAUUCAAAAUUCGUCGCUCGUCGCUCAUUGCGAAACCUGCCUAUCGUUCAUGGAGUGUCAACGACCUUAGAAACGCAUUUUUGUGACUUCACGGUCGACGUAUUAUCAUAUUGAUAAUGUUGUCAUACUAUUUGUAUCCCAGUGGUCGUAGAGACUAUGCCAUGAGUGAUACCUCGACAAAAUGUGUCAGUGGUAAUUGUUUGUAGAUAAUUUCAACAAAUAAAUAUAAUAUUUACAAGUUA
Molecule: RNA transcript, 3089 nt
Organism: Lineus longissimus
Lineage: Eukaryota; Metazoa; Nemertea; Pilidiophora; Heteronemertea; Lineidae
Exons: 9
Source: RefSeq, a predicted model, not a curated record